AGCGAACGCUGGCGGCAGGCCUAACACAUGCAAGUCGAACGAACUCUUCGGAGUUAGUGGCGGACGGGUGAGUAACACGUGGGAACGUGCCUUUUGGUUCGGAAUAACUCAGGGAAACUUGUGCUAAUACCGAAUGUGCCCUUCGGGGGAAAGAUUUAUCGCCAUUUGAGCGGCCCGCGUCUGAUUAGCUAGUUUGUGAGGUAACGGCUCACCAAGGCGACGAUCAGUAGCUGGUCUGAGAGGAUGACCAGCCACACUGGGACUGAGAAACGGCCCAGAAUCCUACGGGAGGCAGCAGUGGGGAAUAUUGAGAAAUGGGGGAAAGGCUGACGAAGCCAUGCCGGGUGAAUGAUGAAGGUCUUAGGAUUGUAAAAUUCUUUAAACGGGGACGAUAAUGACGGUACCCGGAGAAGAAGCCCCGGCUAACUUCGUG
This 433-nucleotide ribosomal RNA is filed under the name uncultured bacterium. RNAcentral's name for it is "partial 16S ribosomal RNA". It matches the Rfam family "Bacterial small subunit ribosomal RNA", at positions 29 to 507 of the family's 1533-position model. The record is from RNAcentral.